GAUGAACGCUGGCGGCGUGCCUAAUACAUGCAAGUCGAACGCUGGAGAUCUAGCUUGCUAGAUCGAAGGAGUGGCGAACGGGUGAGUAAUACAUAAGCAACCUACUCACGAAGACUGGGAUAAUCUCUGGAAACGGGGACUAAUACCGGAUAGGUAAUCGGAAGGCAUCUUCUGGUUAUUAAAGGUUAAAAACACUGGUGGAUGGGCUUAUGGCGCAUUAGUUAGUUGGUGAGGUAACGGCCCACCAAGACGAUGAUGCGUAGCCGGCCUGAGAGGGUGAACGGCCACAUUGGGACUGAGACACGGCCCAGACUCCUACGGGAGGCAGCAGUAGGGAAUUUUCGGCAAUGGGGGCAACCCUGACCGAGCAACGCCGCGUGAGUGAAGACGGCCUUCGGGUUGUAAAGCUCUGUUGUAAGGGAAGAACGGUAGAUAGAGAAUAUCUAAGUGACGGUACCUUACCAGAAAGCCACGGCUAACUACGU
RNAcentral lists this ribosomal RNA (485 nucleotides) under uncultured bacterium. Its description in RNAcentral is "partial 16S ribosomal RNA". It matches the Rfam family "Bacterial small subunit ribosomal RNA", at positions 28 to 506 of the family's 1533-position model. The record is from RNAcentral.